RNAcentral lists this ribosomal RNA (2898 nucleotides) under Escherichia coli. RNAcentral describes it as "23S ribosomal RNA". It matches the Rfam family "Bacterial large subunit ribosomal RNA". Lineage: Bacteria; Pseudomonadati; Pseudomonadota; Gammaproteobacteria; Enterobacterales; Enterobacteriaceae. The record is from RNAcentral.
UUAAGCGACUAAGCGUACACGGUGGAUGCCCUGGCAGUCAGAGGCGAUGAAGGACGUGCUAAUCUGCGAUAAGCGUCGGUAAGGUGAUAUGAACCGUUAUAACCGGCGAUUUCCGAAUGGGGAAACCCAGUGUGUUUCGACACACUAUCAUUAACUGAAUCCAUAGGUUAAUGAGGCGAACCGGGGGAACUGAAACAUCUAAGUACCCCGAGGAAAAGAAAUCAACCGAGAUUCCCCCAGUAGCGGCGAGCGAACGGGGAGCAGCCCAGAGCCUGAAUCAGUGUGUGUGUUAGUGGAAGCGUCUGGAAAGGCGCGCGAUACAGGGUGACAGCCCCGUACACAAAAAUGCACAUGCUGUGAGCUCGAUGAGUAGGGCGGGACACGUGGUAUCCUGUCUGAAUAUGGGGACCAUCCUCCAAGGCUAAAUACUCCUGACUGACCGAUAGUGAACCAGUACCGUGAGGGAAAGGCGAAAAGAACCCCGGCGAGGGAGUGAAAAGAACCUGAAACCGUGUACGUACAAGCAGUGGGAGCACGCUUAGGCGUGUGACUGCGUACCUUUUGUAUAAUGGGUCAGCGACUUAUAUUCUGUAGCAAGGUUAACCGAAUAGGGGAGCCGAAGGGAAACCGAGUCUUAACUGGGCGUUAAGUUGCAGGGUAUAGACCCGAAACCCGGUGAUCUAGCCAUGGGCAGGUUGAAGGUUGGGUAACACUAACUGGAGGACCGAACCGACUAAUGUUGAAAAAUUAGCGGAUGACUUGUGGCUGGGGGUGAAAGGCCAAUCAAACCGGGAGAUAGCUGGUUCUCCCCGAAAGCUAUUUAGGUAGCGCCUCGUGAAUUCAUCUCCGGGGGUAGAGCACUGUUUCGGCAAGGGGGUCAUCCCGACUUACCAACCCGAUGCAAACUGCGAAUACCGGAGAAUGUUAUCACGGGAGACACACGGCGGGUGCUAACGUCCGUCGUGAAGAGGGAAACAACCCAGACCGCCAGCUAAGGUCCCAAAGUCAUGGUUAAGUGGGAAACGAUGUGGGAAGGCCCAGACAGCCAGGAUGUUGGCUUAGAAGCAGCCAUCAUUUAAAGAAAGCGUAAUAGCUCACUGGUCGAGUCGGCCUGCGCGGAAGAUGUAACGGGGCUAAACCAUGCACCGAAGCUGCGGCAGCGACGCUGAUGCGUUGUUGGGUAGGGGAGCGUUCUGUAAGCCUGCGAAGGUGUGCUGUGAGGCAUGCUGGAGGUAUCAGAAGUGCGAAUGCUGACAUAAGUAACGAUAAAGCGGGUGAAAAGCCCGCUCGCCGGAAGACCAAGGGUUCCUGUCCAACGUUAAUCGGGGCAGGGUGAGUCGACCCCUAAGGCGAGGCCGAAAGGCGUAGUCGAUGGGAAACAGGUUAAUAUUCCUGUACUUGGUGUUACUGCGAAGGGGGGACGGAGAAGGCUAUGUUGGCCGGGCGACGGUUGUCCCGGUUUAAGCGUGUAGGCUGGUUUUCCAGGCAAAUCCGGAAAAUCAAGGCUGAGGCGUGAUGACGAGGCACUACGGUGCUGAAGCAACAAAUGCCCUGCUUCCAGGAAAAGCCUCUAAGCAUCAGGUAACAUCAAAUCGUACCCCAAACCGACACAGGUGGUCAGGUAGAGAAUACCAAGGCGCUUGAGAGAACUCGGGUGAAGGAACUAGGCAAAAUGGUGCCGUAACUUCGGGAGAAGGCACGCUGAUAUGUAGGUGAAGCGACUUGCUCGUGGAGCUGAAAUCAGUCGAAGAUACCAGCUGGCUGCAACUGUUUAUUAAAAACACAGCACUGUGCAAACACGAAAGUGGACGUAUACGGUGUGACGCCUGCCCGGUGCCGGAAGGUUAAUUGAUGGGGUUAGCCGCAAGGCGAAGCUCUUGAUCGAAGCCCCGGUAAACGGCGGCCGUAACUAUAACGGUCCUAAGGUAGCGAAAUUCCUUGUCGGGUAAGUUCCGACCUGCACGAAUGGCGUAAUGAUGGCCAGGCUGUCUCCACCCGAGACUCAGUGAAAUUGAACUCGCUGUGAAGAUGCAGUGUACCCGCGGCAAGACGGAAAGACCCCGUGAACCUUUACUAUAGCUUGACACUGAACAUUGAGCCUUGAUGUGUAGGAUAGGUGGGAGGCUUUGAAGUGUGGACGCCAGUCUGCAUGGAGCCGACCUUGAAAUACCACCCUUUAAUGUUUGAUGUUCUAACGUUGACCCGUAAUCCGGGUUGCGGACAGUGUCUGGUGGGUAGUUUGACUGGGGCGGUCUCCUCCUAAAGAGUAACGGAGGAGCACGAAGGUUGGCUAAUCCUGGUCGGACAUCAGGAGGUUAGUGCAAUGGCAUAAGCCAGCUUGACUGCGAGCGUGACGGCGCGAGCAGGUGCGAAAGCAGGUCAUAGUGAUCCGGUGGUUCUGAAUGGAAGGGCCAUCGCUCAACGGAUAAAAGGUACUCCGGGGAUAACAGGCUGAUACCGCCCAAGAGUUCAUAUCGACGGCGGUGUUUGGCACCUCGAUGUCGGCUCAUCACAUCCCGGGCUGAAGUAGGUCCCAAGGGUAUGGCUGUUCGCCAUUUAAAGUGGUACGCGAGCUGGGUUUAGAACGUCGUGAGACAGUUCGGUCCCUAUCUGCCGUGGGCGCUGGAGAACUGAGGGGGGCUGCUCCUAGUACGAGAGGACCGGAGUGGACGCAUCACUGGUGUUCGGGUUGUCAUGCCAAUGGCACUGCCCGGUAGCUAAAUGCGGAAGAGAUAAGUGCUGAAAGCAUCUAAGCACGAAACUUGCCCCGAGAUGAGUUCUCCCUGACCCUUUAAGGGUCCUGAAGGAACGUUGAAGACGACGACGUUGAUAGGCCGGGUGUGUAAGCGCAGCGAUGCGUUGAGCUAACCGGUACUAAUGAACCGUGAGGCUUAACCU